AGUAACGGCGAGUGAAGCGGGAAUAGCUCAAAUUUUAAAUCUGGCUGGCGUGGUCAGUCCGAGUUGUAAUUUGAAGAAGCGUCUAUCACGUUUUCGUUCGGGUUCAAGUUCCUUGGAAUAGGACAUCAGAGAGGGUGAGAAUCCCGUCUGUGAUCCGAUCGGUUGCGGUGCGAUAUCGUUUCUAAGAGUCGAGUUGUUUGGGA
Molecule: ribosomal RNA, 203 nt
Filed under: Archaeospora sp.
Lineage: Eukaryota; Fungi; Glomeromycota; Glomeromycetes; Archaeosporales; Archaeosporaceae
Description: partial large subunit ribosomal RNA
Rfam family: Eukaryotic large subunit ribosomal RNA
Source: RNAcentral